AGAGCCUGAUAUACAGCUGGGAUGUAGAGGAUCAUCUGGCAAAGAUAGUGAGGCAGAACUGGUCUUUAAAUACGGCAGGAUCAGCGUGGAGAUGAUUGACCAGAUCAGGAACAGGUGUGUUGGAUAACUGCAGAUCAGGUAACUGCAGCCCUGCUCAGCUACAGACAGGCUCCAGAUGAGCAUCGUAGUGAGCCCACUUGUGAUUUUAGACCGGGCCAGAGGGACUCGUUAGUGCACCAGUAAGCUGAACGCUUCCACUGGAAGGACUGACAUCGCUGGUUAUCACUCACACCACUGUGACUGGCAACUCCAGGGUGUCGGCACAGUGAAUGGGCACAGAUGGCUGUGAGUUAUCUGAUCUGUAAAGUCAAGGCUUUAUGGCAAGUAAAGCAUGUUUGCUACUUCUGCACUUUCAAAUUUGCAGAAAGACUCAUCAUUAACAAAUUAAUGAAGUUAACGCACGCUUUACAAUCAAAAGCAGCACCAUAUUAUGGCAGACAUAGAUGAAAAAAAAAAACCUCAAUGUGGUAUUGUCACAUGAUUAACACACACUGACACAAAAUGACACACUGACAGCUAAGGACAACAAAGUUUCUAUUUCACCCAACCUGCAUGUCUGAUGUGAUAAAACCGAAAGCUGACAAACCCAAGACCUUUCUGCUGUGAGGAGACAGUACUCAGCAAUGAGUCAGUGUGGAGUCUGGGCACCAAGCUCUCAAUGAAUGUUUUAUAGCUACGUGAGAGGUAGACACAGCCAACCAAUGACUAAAGAGA
This is a long non-coding RNA of Scatophagus argus, 774 nucleotides long. RefSeq lists it as uncharacterized. The record is from RefSeq and is a predicted model, not a curated record. NCBI's taxonomy places the organism in Eukaryota, Metazoa, Chordata, Actinopteri, Scatophagidae. The transcript has 3 exons.